This 253-nucleotide ribosomal RNA is filed under the name uncultured bacterium. RNAcentral describes it as "partial 16S ribosomal RNA". It matches the Rfam family "Bacterial small subunit ribosomal RNA", at positions 524 to 776 of the family's 1533-position model. The record is from RNAcentral.
UACGAAGGGGGCUAGCGUUGUUCGGAUUCAUUGGGCGUAAAGGGUGUGUAGGUGGCGCCGUAAGUCGGGUGUGAAAUCUCGGGGCUUAACUCCGAAACUGCAUUCGAUACUGCGGUGCUUGAGGACUGGAGAGGAGACUGGAAUUCAUGGUGUAGCAGUGAAAUGCGUAGAGAUCAUGAGGAAGACCAGUGGCGAAGGCGGGUCUCUGGACAGUUCCUGACACUGAGACACGAAGGCCAGGGGAGCAAACGGG